GUCCGUUCGCAGAUUUUGGAUAUACGAUAAAAUUGAAACGGUACAGGAAAUAUUAAGAUGACUCUGCGUAAGGAUGACUCACACAUAUCAUAAAUAAAAGUAUAUUAUU
This 109-nucleotide small nuclear RNA is filed under the name Trifolium pratense (red clover). Lineage: Eukaryota; Viridiplantae; Streptophyta; Magnoliopsida; Fabales; Fabaceae. The record is from RNAcentral.